Molecule: unclassified non-coding RNA, 491 nt
Filed under: uncultured Glomus
Lineage: Eukaryota; Fungi; Glomeromycota; Glomeromycetes; Glomerales; Glomeraceae
Description: SSU rRNA
Rfam family: Eukaryotic small subunit ribosomal RNA
Source: RNAcentral
AGCAGCCGCGGUAAUUCCAGCUCCAAUAGCGUAUAUUAAAGUUGUUGCAGUUAAAAAGCUCGUAGUUGAAUUUCGGGGUCUGUCCGUCGGUCGGGCUUCACAGUCCGUACUGGUGUGAUGGGUUCCUACCUUCUGAAUAACCGGCAUGCCAUUCAGUUGGUGCGCCGGGGAAGCAGAGCUAUUACCUUGAAAAAAUUAGAGUGCUUAAAGCAGGCUAGUGCUUGAAUAGAUUAGCAUGGAAUAAUAAAAUAGGACGGCAUGGUUCUAUUUUGUUGGUUUCUAGGAUCACCGUAAUGAUUAAUAGGGAUAGUUGGGGGCAUUAGUAUUCAAUUGUCAGAGGUGAAAUUCUUGGAUUUAUUGAAGACUAACUUCUGCGAAAGCAUUUGCCAAGGAUGUUUUCAUUAAUCAAGAACGAAAGUUAGGGGAUCGAAGACGAUCAGAUACCGUCGUAGUCUUAACCAUAAACUAUGCCGACUAGGGAUCGGACGAUG